This 75-nucleotide transfer RNA is filed under the name Lactiplantibacillus plantarum 2165. Its description in RNAcentral is "Lactobacillus plantarum 2165 tRNA-Glu". It matches the Rfam family "tRNA". From Rfam's summary of the family: Transfer RNA (tRNA) molecules are approximately 80 nucleotides in length. The record is from RNAcentral. Lineage: Bacteria; Bacillati; Bacillota; Bacilli; Lactobacillales; Lactobacillaceae.
GACCCCUUGGUCAAGUGGUUUAAGACACUGCCCUUUCACGGCAGUAACAUGGGUUCGAAUCCCGUAGGUCGGUCA